This 736-nucleotide unclassified non-coding RNA is filed under the name Hevea brasiliensis (rubber tree). The record is from RNAcentral. Lineage: Eukaryota; Viridiplantae; Streptophyta; Magnoliopsida; Malpighiales; Euphorbiaceae.
AAAAAAAAAAAAAAAAAAGACAACCAAUCCCUACAAUCUCACCUCCCUUAAAUUCACCGUAUCCACCCAUCAUUACAUAAGCAUCCAGGAAAACACUUCAACACUAAAAAUGAAAAUACUACCAAAGCAAUCAACAUCAUGAAUCACAAGUUCAGCCACCCUACUUUAGAACAAGAAUUGCCAUCUGUAGUUCAGGCUAAAUGACAAGGAUACAAAAUUUUACUAACAAAAUUAAAAACAAAUGCAACCAACUAAAUGACAUAAUUCCAUCUUAGGAACUACACAUCAUUCAACUGGCCAGCGGCAUGAACGAUCCAAAUCAAAUCCAAAUAUGAAGUGGCAAAGCCCCAAAAUAAUCGAAAUCAAUAAACCAUCGGUCUAACAAAUAAAUAUGCUAAAAAGUCUAAAAAUAAAAUUCAGAACAGGGCAGGCAAACGAAACGCCAGAAAUUUUCUAGCAUCAAUAAUUUACAAAGUGAAUCCGCUCCCUCCCAACAAAACAAAAAUGCAAAUUUAGGCAAUUGAUCAAAUGGAAAAUUUCCCCUCAAAGCAGAAGAAUUUUCAAAUGGGAAUGUAUAAAUAACCAAAAUAUCCAAAUUAACCAACUCUACAAUCAGUUUAGUUAAACCACAGAAACUGGCUUUAUUGAAAAGGGUAUUCUAAAAAUCAUCUACAAGCCAAAAAUCAAGACCCAACUAAUCAAUUUAACUAGAGGGACUGAAGUUUAAAACCAACCU